This is a long non-coding RNA of Quercus robur (English oak), 997 nucleotides long. RefSeq lists it as uncharacterized. The transcript is spliced from 4 exons. The record is from RefSeq and is a predicted model, not a curated record. Lineage: Eukaryota; Viridiplantae; Streptophyta; Magnoliopsida; Fagales; Fagaceae.
AAAAUCUUACUGCCAUAAAUAAGCAGAAAUUAAAUAACAAGUACACACAAAGAACAUAAGAAUUUACGUGGUUUGACAAACUACCUACCUCCACGACAACGACGAAGAAAUUUCACUAUAAAAAUAGGGAGAUACAAUAGUGCACAAUAACAUUCUCUAGAAACCCAAAUCCUAAUACACCCUAACUCUCUCUCACCCACAAGACAAGAAAUCUCUAUUCUUCUUCUUAUGCUGCUGUUGCUAGGUUUUAGGGAUUGUCUCUUGUAAUUGCCGCACACUAGCACUUAUAUAUUGCUAUGCUUAAGUCGGCAAUGUAGGAUUCCUUGUAUGAAUUGUAUUCGGUCAACUACUGUGAUCGACUUAGACUUGUGGUUUUCUAUUACAAGUUGUAUUUGGUUUACUUGUAAUUGACUUGGGCUUGUGGCAAUUCAAGCCACACACGAGGGCCCACUUCAACAUAUCUCCACCUUGGCUUGAAUUGAUCAAGCCCUCCAUCGCCUCCAUCUUAGACCUUAAGGGCUCAAAAUUUUCAAACACCAAUCAUGUUCAAGCAGCUCUUGAACUUUUUUGUUGAAAUUGGCUUUGUUAACAUACUAGGUGCAUUCUAUUCCUCUUUUUGUGAGUAAUCCUUAGCCACUAACUGUGCCUUGAAUUAUUCACCUUCAACUUCUGAUAAUGCUUCUUUCUUGCAGUAUACCCACUUGCAACCAAUAGCCUUCUUUCCCUUGGACAAUUUCAAUGAUUCCCAAGUCUUAUUCUUCUGUAGUGACCCCAUCUCUUCUACAUCCCUAUAAGACGAUGGAUCUCCACUACUGGUUAUGAGAGCAAGGCUAACCAUAUUUUCAAAGCCAUAUCUUUGUGGUACCUCCUACGCCAUGUUGAGCAAGGAAAUUGAGGAGAAGACACAUGAACUGAGGGUGAAAGAUUUCUGGAAGAGAUCACUGCCCUUAAGCAAAAGGGAGCCGAACUGUUGGAAGAAAACCAACGACUAAAACAG